GCGGCGUGCUUCAUACAUGCAAGUCGAACGAGAAGCAGGAGCUUGCUCCUGUGGAAAGUGGCGGACGGGUGAGUAACACGUAGGAAAUCUGCCUUUGGGUGGGGGACAACAGUUGGAAACGACUGCUAAUACCCCAUAUGAGCUUGGUUGCAAUACCAAUCUUGAAAACUCCGGUGCCUAAAGAUGAGCCUGCGUCUGAUUAGCUUGUUGGCGGGGUAAUGGCCCACCAAGGCGACGAUCAGUAGCUGGUUUGAGAGGAUGAGCAGCCAAAAUGGGACUGAGACACGGCCCAUACUCCUACGGGAGGCAGCAGUAGGGAAUUUUGCGCAAUGGGGGAAACCCUGACGCAGCAACGCUGCGUGAAUGACGAAGCCCUUCGGGGUGUAAAGUUCUGUCAGUAGGGAAGAAUUUUGACUGUACCUACAAAGGAAGCACCGGCUAACUCCGUGCCAGCAGCCGCCGUAA
RNAcentral lists this ribosomal RNA (465 nucleotides) under uncultured bacterium. RNAcentral's name for it is "partial 16S ribosomal RNA". It matches the Rfam family "Bacterial small subunit ribosomal RNA", at positions 39 to 523 of the family's 1533-position model. The record is from RNAcentral.